UUCCUGCUCUGGAGCAUGAGCUCAGACCUUGCCAGGCCUGGUGGUCCUGCUGUGCUCCACAGGCCCAGCCUGAAUCAGGGCUCUAGGGCUUGGCUCCUUGAGUCCUGCAGGGCCCCUCUCCUCUACUCUCUGAGCACCUUCUCUGUGCCAGCAUGGCUGCAUGGGGUAUUCCCUUUAUUCCACACACUUUCAAGGGGCAGGGAUUUUGGUCUACUGCAUCCCAAGAACAUGGACUGGCACAUCGCAAGCACUCAUCAAAUGAUCCCUGAAUAAAUGAGUGCCCACUCAGGCUCCCUGGGUGCCUCUGGGAAAGCCUUUGGGUUCCACUUCCCGCCUCUUACCUGAACUGCAAUUACCUGACAUCACCAUGCUGUGAGAAGCCCAAACCAUGUGGGGGAGCCCCGGAGGGUAUGACAUCACUUGGAGAGAGAGGUCAAGAAGUACUGAGACCUUGUCCUGUGAGUGAUGAAGCCAGCCUGGCACAGAAGCAAAGAUAAACCAUCUCGCUGAGCCCUUCUUGAAUUCCUCACCUACAAAAUUAUGAAUAAAAUAAAAUGGUGGUAAGCAUUGA
Molecule: long non-coding RNA, 571 nt
Organism: Prionailurus viverrinus (fishing cat)
Lineage: Eukaryota; Metazoa; Chordata; Mammalia; Carnivora; Felidae
Exons: 3
Source: RefSeq, a predicted model, not a curated record